RNAcentral lists this long non-coding RNA (282 nucleotides) under Elaeis guineensis (African oil palm). RNAcentral describes it as "long non-coding RNA (EGUI_LNC064395)". The record is from RNAcentral. Lineage: Eukaryota; Viridiplantae; Streptophyta; Magnoliopsida; Arecales; Arecaceae.
AUUAGUCAUAUGAUAGAUUCAAUCAACUCAAGUCCAAUUGUGAUCUUUAUGAAAACUCUUUUCCAUCAAUCACCCUGUUGUGGCCAAAGACUCUUGGACUUAAUCUCUCAAAUUCUAUAGGACUACUUCUUUCUAUCAAGAUCAAUAGAUUUCAGCUUGAUAUGCACCCUACUCCUAGAGUGAACCAACUGUCGCCAACAUCUCCUACAAGGGCUCAUUGACAUCAUGUUUAUGUGUCAGUCAAACAUCAGCAGCCUCACUGCGAGCAGUCAUACCAUCGCA